UAUUUUUACAUGUUUAUGUAUACAGAUGGGUAGUGAGUAAAUACUCACGGGUAAAUACCGAGUAAAUACUCAGUAUUUACUCAAUAUACCCGUAUUUACUCGUUUAUACCCAAAUUGGUGGGUAUAAACUAUUGAGAGUGCUGAAAGGGGCAUAUAAAUUUGAAAUAUAGGUGUAUUUUGUAAGCCGCUACUGGAUUAAGUACUCAAAAUUGUAAGAAAUGUAUUUUUAAGAGGGGGCACUCCAUACAUAAACCACCAACGUGUUGCACAUCAUUAAAUGGGUCUUUAAAAAUAACUGGAAU
Long non-coding RNA from Cydia fagiglandana, 302 nucleotides. RefSeq lists it as uncharacterized. The transcript has 3 exons. The record is from RefSeq and is a predicted model, not a curated record. Lineage: Eukaryota; Metazoa; Arthropoda; Insecta; Lepidoptera; Tortricidae.